This 2442-nucleotide small RNA is filed under the name Pongo abelii (Sumatran orangutan). RNAcentral's name for it is "retained intron". Lineage: Eukaryota; Metazoa; Chordata; Mammalia; Primates; Hominidae. The record is from RNAcentral.
GCGGCCCGGAAGCAGCCCGAGUAGAAGAGCGGUUGUUUCAGCUUUGGCCGAGGUUCGGGCUCGAACUUGGAAAAUGCUACUGGCGCCUCAGGGAACGUCCUCCUCAAAGAAAAGGAUGGGGCUGAAUCGCUGGAAACGGUUCACAAGGAAGCCGAGUCCCAAGCUCAGGAGCUGGUUAAUGACUGGUUAGAUACCAAACUUAAGCAAGAAUUAGCAAGUGAGGAAGAAGGUGAUGCUAAAAACACUGUGUCAAGUGUCACUAUUAUGCCGGAAGCCAAUGGCCAUUUGAAAUAUGACAAGUUUGAUGAUUUAUGUGGCUAUUUGGAGGAAGAAGAGGAAAGUACCACCGUUCAAAAAUUUAUAGACCAUCUGCUCCAUAAAAAUGUGGUAGAUUCUGCAAUGAUGGAAGAUCUUGGAAGGAAGGAAAACCAAGACAAGAAGCAGCAGAAGGAUCCUCGUCUUACCAUGGAGAUGAGACAUAAGCAGGUAAAAGAAAAUCGCUUAAGACGUGAGAAAGAACUGGAGUACCAGAGAAUAGAAAAGACCCUGAAAAAAUCAGCCUUCUUGGAGGCUCAGUGUCUGGUGCAAGAAGAGAAGAAAAGGAAGGCUCUGGAGGCCAAGAAAGAGGAAGAGGAGAUUCAAAGGGAGAUGGUGAAGCUGCGGAGGGAGAUAAUUGAGAGGAGACGCACUGUGAAAGAAGCAUGGAAAAUAGAGAAGAAAAGGCAAGAAGAGAAUUCUCAAAAUAGUUCAGAAAAAGUCAUGUUUCAAAGUACUCACAUUCUUCUGGAUGAGGAAAAAAUGGCGAAAGAAAGAAAAAGGAAAUUGAAAGAAGUAUUAAUCCAAACUUUCGAAGAAAAUCAACAGUGUCAAAAACGGUAUUUCGCUGCCUGGCACAAGCUGAUUCUUGAUCAUAGGAUUAAGCUGGGGAAAGCUGGGACCCUGUCUGACUGGAAGAUUCAGCUGAAGGUCCUGUGGGCCUGGAGAGACUACACAAGAUUCCAGAAGUUGGAGCGGGAGACUCAAGCCUUGGAAAAUGAUCUUAGGGAAGAAAACAGAAAACAACAACUGGCCACUGAGUAUAACCGGAAACAAGUUCUCCGACACUGCUUUACAGAAUGGCAGCAUUGGCAUGGCACCGAGCUCCUGAAGAGAGAGCUGGCUCUCACAAAAGAGGAAACUAGGAAGAAGAUGGAUGCACUGCUGCAGGCAGCAUCACUGGGGAAACUCAGUGCCAAUGGGUCAUCAGGCUUCAGUCUACCCGAGGAGGCAACAGCCGUGGUGGGUCCACCAGUAAAAAAUGGACAGGAGACUGCUGUGCCUCCUUUGUGGGAAAAGCCUCCCUUGGGAAGCAGUGGUUGUAUGCUCAGUCCUCCCCUAGGAAGAACAACAACAGGCAACUUGCAGGGUUCCCUUCAGAAUGUCUCUUUGAGUGCACCUGGCAAUAAGCAGCACAAGACCCUGGGUGCUGAACCCUCUCAACAGCCUGGCAGCAACGAGACACUCGGAACUACCAGCCAGAAAGCAGAACCGCUUUGCUUGGGUCAUUUCCACAACCGCCAUGUCUUCCAGCAACAGCUGAUUGAGAAGCAAAAGAGGAAACUUCAGGAACAGCAGAAAACAAUUCUCGAGCUGAAGAAAAACCAGCAGCUGGCAGAGGCUCAGUGGGCAGCAGAGCAUGCCUCAGCAGUCACAGACGCACAGAGCCACCUGCUGUCAAAGCCCAGAGAAAAGGAACCAAAAACCUGCCAGAUGCUUGUAAAUUCACCUGUUGCUUCCCCUGGGACUGAAGGCAGAAGUGACUCCCGUAAUUCUCUUUCUGGACUCAAAAGAAAACCAAAGCAAUUGAUGACACUGCAUCCCAUACUAAAAGGCAGGGCUGUCUUGGUGGUGGCCUUGGUGGUUGUUAUCGUCUCUCCUAGAGUAGAAUGUGUACACUGGGACUGAAUUCUGGCAACUCUUGAGGUUUUGAGACUUGGCAGAACCUGACAUCAAAAAUCUCAGAACGGUAGACAUGUGAGGAGUGGAGUACACCAGAGAGCCCCACUACUUUUUUCCUGCCCCUUUUGCCAACCUUUUUGGCAUUCCCAGCCAACACACACACAAAAAAACAUAGCUGAAAGGUGUAUCAUUUUUCUGUAAUUUGAGAUUUGGAUUGUGAAAAAAAAAGGGAUAACUACACAAAUGAGAAAACUCUGAGGAACUGCCAAGGUCAAACACUGAUAAAGGUCACCUGUCAUCGUACUUUGUUAAUGUUCAAAUUUGAUCAGUUUACAGUAAUCCAAGAUAAGUUAUUAUAUCAUUUUAUAAUGUUAUAACUUGUUGAUGGGAUUUUAGUAAUAAAACCUACAAACCAGAUAUCUUAAUUUGAUAACAUUUUUGAUGCACCUAGAAACACUUAUUUAUUUAUUUGGUACAGGCAGGGUCUUCCUGUGUUGCCCAGGC